CGUACUAGUAGCUCAGCGUCUAGAGCUCCG
RNAcentral lists this transfer RNA (30 nucleotides) under Fundulus cingulatus (banded topminnow). Its description in RNAcentral is "partial tRNA-Thr". Lineage: Eukaryota; Metazoa; Chordata; Actinopteri; Cyprinodontiformes; Fundulidae. The record is from RNAcentral.